This 449-nucleotide ribosomal RNA is filed under the name uncultured bacterium. RNAcentral describes it as "partial 16S ribosomal RNA". It matches the Rfam family "Bacterial small subunit ribosomal RNA", at positions 29 to 523 of the family's 1533-position model. The record is from RNAcentral.
AACGAACGCUGGCGGCAUGCCUAACACAUGCAAGUCGAACGAACCCUUCGGGGUGAGUGGCGCACGGGUGCGUAACACGUGGGAACCUGCCCUUAGGUUCGGAAUAACAGUUAGAAAUGACUGCUAAUACCGGAUAAUGUCUUCGGACCAAAGAUUUAUCGCCUUUGGAUGGGCCCGCGUGGGAUUAGCUAGUUGGUGAGGUAAAGGCUCACCAAGGCGACGAUCCUUAGCUGGUCUUAGAGGAUGAUCAGCCACACUGGGACUGAGACACGGCCCAGGCUCCUGCGGGAGGCAGCAGUGGGGAAUAUUGGACAAUGGGAGAAAGCCUGAUCCAGCAAUGCCGCGUGAGUGAUGAAGGCCUUAGGGUUGUAAAGCUCUUUUCCCUGGGAUGAUAAUGACAGUACCAGGAGAAUAAGCCCCGGCUAACUCCGUGCCAGCCGCCGCCGUAA